GUGCAAUCCAGACUGUAAUAAUAACACCUAUUUUGGGAUUAUUUUUUUUUCCUUUUCAUUUUUUUCAGAACCUACACCUGUAUUAUGAUUUUAGAACGACACUGCAACACUUCUCUCUAACAAGGCCAGAUCGGAUUCAGACCUUCCUCUGUGUGUGAUGGAUGUGUUAUUACAUGGCAUUUUAUGCCCAACAUUAGCAGCAUAUUGUGUUGCUGUCCUUCAGCCUGUAAUCACAUUACGCCUGUCUUGCAUCAAUCCUAAUCCACACACAAAUCUCUGGAGUGUGUUCUGGGCUUAAUCACAAUCCCAGCUGGAAUGCAACGCCCUGCUUUGGAAUCAGGUAAGAACAGCCAUUGUUUUACUCUUCUUUUCUUUUUUAUUCUCAUAUUUCUAAAUCCCAGGAGGCUUCUGAAAACGCUCUUUAUAAACCCACCAACCUCAGGAACCCUGAUCAAAUGUGUCAGUACGUUGUCAGACAUGUGUUAAGGCAGAUUUUGCUUUAUAUAUAUGAACAACGCUCUGUCUCUAUUUAGAUAAAUAGUGUAAUUUUGCAUUAGUGACCUCCAAGGGCAACAAUAAGAUGGAGAGCCUAUUCAUCUACAGCAGGUGGUUUUUCUUUUAUUUUUUCAUUCUGGAGUGUUAGUGAUUGCAGAAAUUAAAUUACAAAUAGCAUUUAAGGACCCACAAAUAUGCCAUGGGACUAGACUGGAGAAAAUGGAAGUGUUCAUUUUGGAGUCUGUAGAAACAGAUGACUGAAUAGCCAAAGAAAGAAAGUUGGUAAAAAUUGAUUAAAUUGAUAAAUUCACUAGCAUGUUUGUUUCCCAAUCCCAUUUUUAAUCCUAAACACCACAGUAAUUUGAUUUAGCUUCACCAUAUUGCACUGUUUUUUCAGGUAGUUACUAUAUAAUAAGCCUAAGUUUGAAAAUCUGUAUGUGCAUACAAGGUGUGGUACCUGAUUUGCUGCUUUACAUGAGAUAUUUACAGCCAUAUUCACAACAAAAAGUGUCCUAAGAUUUGCUCUGAGUUACACCCAAGACAUUCAGCUGCCAUUCCACAGUGAGGGAGGUGCAGUUUCUGGCAGUAUUUGUGAGAAAUUCUGGGAAGAACGUGUGUGUGUGAGAACAUUUUUCUCAGCCUGUGUGUGAGAUCUCAAACCCAGAACUCAGAUGUUGACUGAAUUAUUUUCCCACAUCCUGUCCGUGCUCUUCUCACUGGCCUCAUUGUUCUGCCCGUAGCCCGAACCGAGCCUUUUUUCUUUUGUUUGCGGACGGACAUGAGGAAGCUUGACGUCAUUCUAUUUCUGCCUUCUUGUGAAUUUUUCCUGGAGACGAGCCACAUAGUAUAUCAGGAUGUGGAGAUGGAUGAGGGCUUCAUAGGGGCUUUCCCUGUAUCUGAUCAGCAGUAGGGUAGUGAGUUAUACUCUAUUGUUAUAUACACCAUUAGAUGAUGUCAUGAAUUUACCACGUCCCCAUAACAACAAAACCCGAAGUUUAUAAGAAAAAAGAAUUUAAUGCCAAGCCAUCAUUAGUACAAUAUGCAUGUACAGAUUGAGAGCAGUGGAAUUUUCCUCUUAUACCAGAAGAACAAUAACAAUGUCUUAUUUAAUAAAGAACAAUGCAUACUUUUUAUCCAUUUAUAGUUACAUCUGCAAAACAAGUGAGUUCCUGUUAUCACUUACAUUACUGCAACUAUAAACAGUCGUUACCUCACCAGCCUCUCUUUUUUUCUCUAUCUUGAAGUGUGUGUGUGUGUGUGUGGAGUGGAGCGUAUGAGUGUGUAAAUACAGCUUGUCUUUAUGCUAGAAUGUUUAACUAUAUGGUGAAGGUGGUGCCACAGGCCCUGACUGGUCCGGAUCAUGUGAGGGAGCAGGAGCAGAGUACUACAACUGGAAAAGUUCCAGGAAACAGAGGAAAGCUGAAGUCAGUCAAAUCAAUCAGGGAUGAUGAUCAAGCAUCAGAAACGUCCCAGGGCAGGCAAGUAACCAGAGGUGGAAAGUGCUUGUAAUUAUACAUUUCCUUUAAGAAACCCCACGCUGUUAACUCUCAAAUAUCAUGACUCCUAUU
Molecule: long non-coding RNA, 2063 nt
Organism: Pangasianodon hypophthalmus (striped catfish)
Lineage: Eukaryota; Metazoa; Chordata; Actinopteri; Siluriformes; Pangasiidae
Exons: 3
Source: RefSeq, a predicted model, not a curated record